Molecule: long non-coding RNA, 1070 nt
Filed under: Homo sapiens (human)
Lineage: Eukaryota; Metazoa; Chordata; Mammalia; Primates; Hominidae
Description: HSALNT0347506
Source: RNAcentral
CGGGUCCGGAAGCGGGCGGUGGAGAAGUCCAGUUGCCCCAAAAUUCUUAGGGUGCUUAAUUUCGUGCCCGCUCUACAGGAAAUAACGUGCGCGGCGGAGGAGCCCUGUCCUGGAGAAUAACGCGUGAAGAAGACAGUGGACUGGGCAUUUCGUCCAGAUGAAUGAGCAUGGUAGUUAAGUGUAGAAGGUGACCUUCUUCCCUCUGGAGAGACCAGGGAGGGGGGAACCACCGGAGGAGUUUCUAGCGGUUGCAGCUACUUGAGGUUCCAGUCUAAUAACUACGAACUGUUCAUUUCAAGUAGCAUUAAAGUAGAUUUGCUACAGUAACAAUUACACUUGGCUAAGGAAAAUUUGCAAGGCAACAUGGUCUAUUGCAUAGAGCACUGAGCCACAUGUUAACACUGUAACAAACACUUGCUAUUUUGAAAUUUUACGCUUCAUCUUUUGCAAAUCAGAUGCAGGUGCAGAGUGAAUUAAGAGGAGCUGAAUUAAGAGAGAAGCUUGCAUGCACUGCUGUCAAAACCUAAACACACUGGCUUUUUUUUUUUUAACAGUUCCUUUUUUCAAGGUAUAGAUUCUGGGAAGGUAAGGGAAGAUAAAACAGCUUUUCUUUUUCUCUCCUGUUUUUUUUUUUGUUGUUUUUUUUUUGAGACUAGGUCUCACUCUAUUCCCCAUGCUGGAGUGCAGUGGCACAAUCAUAGCUUACAGUAGCCUCGAACAGCGAUCCUCUUGCCUCAGCCUCCAAAGUAGCUGGGACUACAGGCGCGCGCCACAACACCUGGCCAAGCGUUUCUUCCAGAUCAUUCCUUACUGGGUUGCUGGUUCAGUAAAAAUAAAAAAAUAAAAAAUAAUUUAGAAAUGAGUUCCCAAAUUUCAUUAUGUUCCCAAUGUCAUUUGGAAUCACUGUUUCACUGUUUUCUUAUUUACCCCUGGGUCGUACAUUACUUCACUUAUUUAUAUCUAACAGGAAGCAGAGCUUCUGCUAUAUUUUAGGCUGUAUUCAGUUUUAUACAGAAUACCUUUUUUAGAGCUUGAAGACAAAUGUUUUAGAUUUUGACAGUAAAACAAAU